This 468-nucleotide ribosomal RNA is filed under the name uncultured bacterium. Its description in RNAcentral is "partial 16S ribosomal RNA". It matches the Rfam family "Bacterial small subunit ribosomal RNA", at positions 28 to 507 of the family's 1533-position model. The record is from RNAcentral.
GACGAACGCUGGCGGCGUGCUUAACACAUGCAAGUCGAACGGUAAGGCCCUGCCUUGGUGGGGUGCUUCAGUGGCGAACGGGUGAGUAACACGUGAGCAACCUGCCCUUGACUCUGGGAUAAGUGCAGGAAACGGGGGCUAAUACUGGAUACGAGCCUCGCCCGCAUGGGGGUGGUUUGAAAGGUUUGGCGGUUUGGGAUGGGCUCGCGGCCUAUCAGCUUGUUGGUGGGGUAGUGGCUCACCAAGGCUUUGACGGGUAGCCGGCCUGAGAGGGUGACCGGCCACAUUGGGACUGAGAUACGGCCCAGACUCCUACGGGAGGCAGCAGUGGGGAAUAUUGCACAAUGGGCGGAAGCCUGAUGCAGCAACGCCGCGUGCGGGAUGACGGCCUUCGGGUUGUAAACCGCUUUCGCCUGUGACGAAGCGUGAGUGACGGUAAUGGCUAAAGAAGCACCGGCUAACUACGUG